Molecule: long non-coding RNA, 200 nt
Filed under: Lathyrus oleraceus (garden pea)
Lineage: Eukaryota; Viridiplantae; Streptophyta; Magnoliopsida; Fabales; Fabaceae
Description: Pisum sativum (pea) long non-coding RNA (PSAT_LNC041300)
Source: RNAcentral
UAUUUGAGUCCCGCCGGUUGUUUUUUCGCAGGAUGCGACAGCUGGCGACUCUGCUGGGGAACUCUGCGGAUGUUGACCUGUGCUGGUCCAUCUUCCCUAUGCGAGUCUCUCCUAGCGUUCUAGGAUAGUUUAGGUUGCUUGUGUUGCUGUAUUUAUUGCAUUUAUUAUUCUGGCUGUGUAUAUAUUUGCAUAAAUAUUUG